UACGGAGGGUGCUAGCGUUGUUCGGAAUUACUGGGCGUAAAGCGCGCGUAGGCGGCUUUGUAAGUUAGAGGUGAAAGCCCGGGGCUCACCCCCGGAACUGCCUUUAAGACUGCAUCGCUUGAGUCCAGGAGAGGUGAGUGGAAUUCCGAGUGUAGAGGUGAAAUGCGUAGAUAUUCGGAGGAACACCAGUGGCGAAGGCGGCUCACUGGACCGUAACUGACGCUCAUGCACGAUAGCGUGGGGAGCAAACAGG
RNAcentral lists this ribosomal RNA (253 nucleotides) under uncultured bacterium. RNAcentral's name for it is "partial 16S ribosomal RNA". It matches the Rfam family "Bacterial small subunit ribosomal RNA", at positions 524 to 776 of the family's 1533-position model. The record is from RNAcentral.